Molecule: long non-coding RNA, 752 nt
Organism: Eleginops maclovinus (Patagonian blennie)
Lineage: Eukaryota; Metazoa; Chordata; Actinopteri; Perciformes; Eleginopidae
Exons: 2
Source: RefSeq, a predicted model, not a curated record
GGGUGGCAUGGGGUGGCAACUGCCACCCUAAAUGAAAGCCUUGCCACCCCUGCUGCCACCCCAUGUGGCAGCAACGAGUUAAAAGAAAAGUUAACGUCAGUCUGACAUUUACGAGCCGAGCGCAAAUCUCAAAUGUCCGACUGCAGUGAAUGCAGCACGAGAUAACGCCGAAAAAAGUGUCUCUUCUAAUUCGAAUGCAACCCAAGCGCUCUUAAGUGACGUGGUUGGUUACGUUCCUGUUGUUCAUCUGUCCAUCAUCGUCUAAAGCCCGCCCUGGCAAUCUGAUUGGGCCAGGGCUACGUUCGGUUGGGACCCAGGCUAGCACCUGACUGCUUUCUUUUGAAAAGUGAGUGGCGCGAACGCGAAGUGAAGGAGCCAGGAGUCGCAAGGAGAGGACACACGGGAGGAAAGAGACGUAUCCAAGUCCAGGUGUGAGGUUCCAGUGCAGCCAGUGCGGGAGAGUUUCCCAAAGACACUCCAGGGAGGAGCCAGGAGAAGCUUCCGCAGCGACUGGUACAAAUCUCAUCCCUGGUUAGAAUACUCACAAUCUAAAGACGCAUCUUACUGUUUUGCCUGUAGGCAUUUUUCCCUUCCCGAUGCUCCAAGGACUGUUUUCACCUCAUUCGAGGGUUAUCAAAACUGGAAAAAGGCUACAAUGAAAGACAGUGGUUUCUGUUCUCAUGCCAGAUCUGAAAGCCAUGUAAAUGCAAUGUUUGCAUGGACAGAGAACAAUAAAAUGAAGGAUAAAAAUA